This 460-nucleotide ribosomal RNA is filed under the name uncultured bacterium. RNAcentral describes it as "partial 16S ribosomal RNA". It matches the Rfam family "Bacterial small subunit ribosomal RNA", at positions 338 to 795 of the family's 1533-position model. The record is from RNAcentral.
CCUACGGGUGGCAGCAGUGAGGAAUAUUGGUCAAUUGUCGCGAGCCUGAACCAGCCAAGUAGCGUGAAGGAUGACUGCCCUACGGGUUGUACACUUCUUUUAUAAAGGAAUACAGUGAGGCACGUGUGCCUUUUUGUAUGUACUUUAUGAAUAAGGAUCGGCUAACUACGUGCCAGCAGCCGCGGUAAUACGGCGGAUCCGAGCGUUAUCCGGAUUUAUUGGGUUUAAAGGGAGCGUAGAUGGGUUGUUAAGUCAGUUGUGAAAGUGUGCGGCUCAACCGUAAAAUUGCAAUUGAUACUGGCAGUCUUGAGUACAGUUGAGGUAGGCGGAAUUCGUGGUGUAGCGGUGAAAUGCUUAGAUAUCACGAAGAACUCCGAUUGCGAAGGCAGCUUACUAAACUGCCACUGACAUUGAUGCUCGAAAGUGUGGGUAUCAAACAGGAUUAGAUACCCGGGUAGUC